Alligator sinensis (Chinese alligator) is the source of this 529-nucleotide long non-coding RNA. RefSeq lists it as uncharacterized. The record is from RefSeq and is a predicted model, not a curated record. Lineage: Eukaryota; Metazoa; Chordata; Crocodylia; Alligatoridae. The transcript is spliced from 3 exons.
CUGAGGCCAUCUUUUCAGGUGUUGCCCUUUACAAAAAAAGGGGGAAAUUAUCCAAUUGGUAGACCUUCAAGAGCUCAUUCAUUUGGAGUAAGUGCCAUGCUGGGAGUCAUUCUGGUCCUGAUUCAAUGCCAGUUGAAGAAACAGAAUAUGAUUCGAAGUGCACACAAUAAGAACUGAAUGGGAUUACUCACAUGAUCAAAGUGACUUACAUGUAUAAGCAUUUGAAGAAUUAGUGCUUUAGAAAAGGUGCCGUUAAUCUACCAAUGUCAAUCAUACAACCUUGCAAGAACAAAAGUGUGUGCCACUAACAUACCAGAGGAGAAUAAUUCCAGCUGCAACAGAAUGCCGCUCUUUUCUGUUUAUGGGAACUUCGAUGCAAUUAUUUUACAGAGAUGGACUUAUUCUAAACAACCCUAUCAUUUCUCGACUUUCAAAUUUCAUUAACUUAAGCACAAAUCAACAAUGACUCUACUCCAGCCUGCCUCUGAUAUGGUAUUUAGAAUAAACAUGGAUGGGUGAUCUUUUAUUC